GAGGGCAAGUCUGGUGCCAGCAGCCGCGGUAAUUCCAGCUCCAAUAGCGUAUAUUAAAGUUGUUGUGGUUAAAAAGCUCGUAGUUGAACCUUGGGCCUGGCUGGCCGGUCCGCCUCACCGCGUGUACUGGUCCGGCCGGGCCUUUCCCUCUGUGGAACCCCAUGCCCUUCACUGGGUGUGGCGGGGAAACAGGACUUUUACUGUGAAAAAAUUAGAGUGCUCCAGGCAGGCCUAUGCUCGAAUACAUUAGCAUGGAAUAAUAGAAUAGGACGUGUGGUUCUAUUUUGUUGGUUUCUAGGACCGCCGUAAUGAUUAAUAGGGAUAGUCGGGGGCGUCAGUAUUCAGCUGUCAGAGGUGAAAUUCUUGGAUUUGCUGAAGACUAACUACUGCGAAAGCAUUCGCCAAGGAUGUUUUCAUUAAUCAGGAACGAAAGUUAGGGGAUCGAAGACGAUCAGAUACCGUCGUAGUCUUAACCAUAAACUAUGCCGACUAGGGAUCGGACGGUGUUAUUUUUUGACCCGUUCGGCGCCUUACGGGAAAC
This 541-nucleotide ribosomal RNA is filed under the name uncultured Ascomycota. RNAcentral's name for it is "SSU rRNA". It matches the Rfam family "Eukaryotic small subunit ribosomal RNA", at positions 551 to 1098 of the family's 1831-position model. Lineage: Eukaryota; Fungi; Ascomycota. The record is from RNAcentral.